AGCAGCGUGGCUUACUGGAAAGAGCACGGGCUUGGGAGUCCGAGGUUGUGGGUUCUAAUCCCGGCCCUGCCA
Non-coding RNA from Ornithorhynchus anatinus (platypus), 72 nucleotides. Lineage: Eukaryota; Metazoa; Chordata; Mammalia; Monotremata; Ornithorhynchidae. The record is from Rfam.